RNAcentral lists this ribosomal RNA (923 nucleotides) under uncultured bacterium. Its description in RNAcentral is "bacterial SSU rRNA". It matches the Rfam family "Bacterial small subunit ribosomal RNA", at positions 8 to 916 of the family's 1533-position model. The record is from RNAcentral.
AGAGUUUGAUCAUGGCUCAGGAUGAACGCUAGCGGCAGGCUUAAUACAUGCAAGUCGAGGGGCAUCAAGGUACACGAAAGUGUAUUGUUGGCGACCGGCGGACGGGUGAGUAAUAGGUAGGUAACCUACCUCAUACUGAGGCAUAGCUGGGAGAAAUUCCAGGUAAUUCCUCAUGAGGUUAUAUGACACAUGUGAUAUAAUCAAAGGUAUCGCAAGGUACUGGUAUGAGAUGGGCUUACUGACCAUUAGCUAGUUGGUGAGAUAAGAGCUCACCAAGGCGAAGAUGGUUAGGGGUUUUGAGAGAGAGAUCCCCCACAUUGGAACUGAGAUACGGUCCAGACUCCUACGGGAGGCAGCAGUAGGGAAUAUUGGGCAAUGGGCGGAAGCCUGACCCAGCCAUGCCGCGUGAAGGAAGACGGCCUUAUGGGUUGUAAACUUCUUUACUAUGCGACUAACUAGAUUUACGAGAUAAUUCUAUAGAAUGUAGCAUAGCAAAAAGCACCGGCUAACUCCGUGCCAGCAGCCGCGGUAAUACGGAGGGUGCGAGCGUUAUUCGGAAUUACUGGGUUUAAAGGGUGCGUAGGCGGCUAAGUAAGUUGUCAUUGAAAGGCUACAGCUCAACUGUAGUAGUGGUGGCGAUACUGCUUAGCUAAGAACAUGGGAGGGGUACUUGGAAUGUGUGGUGUAGCGGUGAAAUGCGUAGAUAUCACACAGAACACCAGAGGCGAAGGCGGAGUACUAGACCAUAGUUGACGCUGAGGCACGAAAGCGUGGGGAUCAAACAGGAUUAGAUACCCUGGUAGUCCACGCCCUAAACGAUGAUCACUAGAUAUUGGCGACAAACAGUCAGUGUCCAAGCGAAAGUGAUAAGUGAUCCACCUGGGGACUACGGCCGCAAGGUUAAAACUUAAAUGAAUUGACGG